GCCUGGGUAGCUCAGUUGGUAGAGCUUCAGGUGCUUAAUCUGAGGAUCCAGAGUUCAAGCCUCUGUCUGGGCA
Molecule: non-coding RNA, 73 nt
Organism: Chelonoidis abingdonii (Abingdon island giant tortoise)
Lineage: Eukaryota; Metazoa; Chordata; Testudines; Testudinidae
Source: the annotation of a RefSeq genome assembly